GUGUCAGCAGCCGCGGUAAUACAGAGGGUGCAAGCGUUGUCCGGAAUCACUGGGCGUAAAGGGCGCGUAGGCGGCCUGAUAAGUAGGAGGUGAAAUCCUGGGGCUUAACCUCAGGGCUGCCUUCUAGACUGUCCGGCUCGAGCACAGUAGAGGCAGGUGGAAUUCCCGGUGUAGCGGUGGAAUGCGUAGAGAUCGGGAAGAACAUCGGUGGCGAAGGCGGCCUGCUGGGCUGUUGCUGACGCUGAGGCGCGACAGCGUGGGGAGCAAACAGGAUUAGAUACCCUGGUAGUCCACGCCGUAAACGAUGGGUACUAGGCGUCGGGGGGAGCGACCCCCUCGGUGCCGUCGCUAACGCAGUAAGUACCCCGCCUGGGGAGUACGGCCGCAAGGCUGAA
This 395-nucleotide ribosomal RNA is filed under the name uncultured bacterium. RNAcentral's name for it is "bacterial SSU rRNA". It matches the Rfam family "Bacterial small subunit ribosomal RNA", at positions 505 to 898 of the family's 1533-position model. The record is from RNAcentral.